GAUGAACGCUAGCUACAGGCUUAACGCAUGCAAGUCGAGGGGAAACGAUAGAGAAAGCUUGCUUUUUCUAGGCGUCGACCGGCGCACGGGUGAGUAACGCGUAUCAACCUGCCCACCACUUGGGGAUAACCUUGCGAAAGUAAGACUAAUACCCAAUGAUAUCUCAAGAAGACAUCUGAAUGAGAUUAAAGAUUUAUCGGUGAUGGAUGGGGAUGCGUGUGAUUAGCUUGUGGGCGGGGUAACGGCCCACAAAGGCGACGAUCAGUAGGGGUUAUGAGAGGAAGGUCCCCCACAGUGGAGCUGAGACACGGUCAAAACUCCUACGGGAGGCAGCAGUGAGGAAUAUUGGUCAAUGGGCGAGAGCCUGAACCAGCCAAGUAGCGUGCAGGAUGACGGCCCUAUGGGUUGUAAACUGCUUUUAUAAGGGAAUAAAGUGAGUCUCGUGAGACUUUUUGCAUGUACCUUAUGAAUAAGGACCGGCCAAUUCCGUGCCAGCCGCCGCGGUAA
RNAcentral lists this ribosomal RNA (507 nucleotides) under uncultured bacterium. RNAcentral describes it as "partial 16S ribosomal RNA". It matches the Rfam family "Bacterial small subunit ribosomal RNA", at positions 28 to 523 of the family's 1533-position model. The record is from RNAcentral.